AUGACAAUCACACUUGUGAAAAUCUUUUUCAUUUUGUUCUUCGAAGAAGCCCUUCCACUGGUCACGGGACCCCGGAUUUCCCCUCUCCGGCCACGUCACCUAGUCACCAUAAAACAGAGGAUAAAGAGAACAACGAUGUAGAAAGCUUGAUGAACUUCCAAGUAAAGCAAGAAACUAAAGAAGAAGAUAAAGAACAGUGUAGUCCUGUUUCUGUAUUGGACCCCCC
RNAcentral lists this unclassified non-coding RNA (226 nucleotides) under Hevea brasiliensis (rubber tree). Lineage: Eukaryota; Viridiplantae; Streptophyta; Magnoliopsida; Malpighiales; Euphorbiaceae. The record is from RNAcentral.